AGAAGGGGAAGUGAACUCGCAAGCUUGAGCUCGCUUUUUCCAGGCACUCCGUGGGCACUCUGUGAAGGCGAGAGCGUGACAUGGUCCUGCUUUUUCUGGCAGCCUUGAUGGCACUGUCAGACUUUGGUCAUGCACAGGACUCUGUGCUGCAGUUUGCACAAGAAACUGCCAUCCAGGUGGGACACAACGCUACUCUGCACUGCAAUUUCUCCACCAGCAGCUCUGCUCCCUACAUCUUCUGGUAUCAGCAGCGCCUGACCCAGUCCCCUCAGUUCUUGCUGCAGGUGAGCAAGUCCAAGCCUCAUGUGCAUUCCGGGAGGAUCUCCUCUGUGCUCUCCGUGGAGAACUCCCAGGUGCUUCUCCACGUGCAAGAUGCCAGGCUCCAGGACAGCGCUGUCUACCUGUGUGCACUGAACCCACACUGGUGCCUGCAGCAUGCAGCUUUAUACAGGAAGGUGCGGGUGCUGUGAGGAGCAGCUCCCUCUCAUCACAGUUUGCAUGGAGCUCUGAGCUGAGCCUGCCCAGCAAGGACACGUGGGGCUUGUGGUGAGCCAGGUGUGAGUGGCAGCCCCUGCUCCUGAUGCCUGGCAGUGUGGUUAGCAUAACCAACAGUAAGGCAAAUGUCCAUAAUGUGGAAGGGGGCUGUUAAUGUGCACCCCUGCCCCCUAGUCUCUCCCUCUCACUGGCCCCAGCAUGUGGAGACACCCACCAUUGUGGUGAGAAAGGGCAUUAGUGUUAUCCAUCUAGUAAUUCAACUAGUAAUUUAUUUGUAGUAAUCUUCAGGAUUUUGUAGUAAUUUUUAGUAUUUCUAGUAAUUUCUUAUGUAAUAAUAAAUCUCUAGUUAUAACCACAACCUGUGGCCAGUCCUCCUUCUGCCAAGGAUCCCUAAAGAACCUGCCAGUGUUCUGUAGUGUUGGGAGACAGACCUGGGUGUAGUCAGCAGGAUCCUUCUGUUAGAAUAAUGAAUGGUUCCCUUGAUAAAUGGGCCACACUGGGGAAGGGUUUUCUUGGAAAUGGAUGGCAAGAUGCAAAGCAGGAAUGGCUAAGGCCAAUACACCACAAUCCAAAUGCAUCAGGGAAUGAAUUUAAUAAAUGCAAAGAUGCGUGUAUGGUAAGGAAAGACAAAAGGAAGGAAGGAGUGUGCUGGUUGUUAGCUGCAACGUGGAAAAUUGAGAAGGAAUGGGCUGGAAGUUUAGAGGAAGAAAACAGAAGGUUGAAAAGGGAAUAUUCAGCCAAAGAUACAGAUGUUUUGGCUGUUGCAGAACAGUGCUUAGACGAAGUCGAGGACUUUUCAGCUUCUCACACUACCCUCCACCAAGGAGGCUGGAGGUGCAGAUGAAGGUGGGAGGAGACACAACCAGGUACAAAGUCCAGAUUUGUUACCCAGUGUACUAUGAGCCAAUCCACACACAACGUCAAGAGAUUGUUUAUUUCAGAAUAGUGCAAGUCUGGGUACCUGGUGGUUUCCCACAAACCUGGCAGCCCUUAAGACUUUCCGUUCAGCUUUCAUAAAACCCCUUCUCGAUACAUUUGCAUGUUUGUACAAUCCCCACCCCUCCAAAUGGUUACAUGAUUAGCACAGUGCUGCCAUGACAGAAUCAUUCUGCGCAUCCUCAGAGAGCAAGGGUCCCUUGUUGGGCCGGGGUCUCCCAGCACACGGGAGUGAUUUUUCCUCUUGUACUUAGGAUAGUACUCGGUGAGUUCACACUAGAAUACUCGUAAUCUUUGUUUUUCAGCUGUCUAUUCAUAUUGCGUUGCUAGGUGACAUAUUCAAGAGCCAAAUGGAGCCAAACUCUUCUUGAACAAGUAAAAGAACACAGGGCAAUGUACACAGUCUGGAACAUGAAAAAUUUGAACUAGAAAUUGUGACUUUUGUUGCUUUUCUUGAGGGUGGAUUGUGAAUGUAGAUGGAUGCCAGCAAGAGUGGCCUUCCAGUACUGAUUAAAAUACCAUUAGUUGGAGGUAACACAAGAAAGAAAAAGGGAAUAGCAUAGGCAAAGUUUUUUUCUGAUGCUGGGAACCCUGAGUUAUGGAGCUGUACUGGGACUGCCUGGGACAGAAUUAACGUUCCCCACAGCAGCCCCUAGAGUGCUGUGCUCUGCACUUGGAGCUAGAACUCCACUGCCAUCACACCAAUGUUUGGGCAAUUAUGGAGCAGUGCUGGCACAGCAUCAAGACACUUUCUCCAACCCCUUCAAAGCCAGGAAGUGGAGGGUGGGCAAGAGGAGGGAGGAGACAUCGCCAGGGCAGCUGACCUAAA
This is a non-coding RNA of Cygnus olor (mute swan), 2260 nucleotides long. The record is from the annotation of a RefSeq genome assembly. NCBI's taxonomy places the organism in Eukaryota, Metazoa, Chordata, Aves, Anseriformes, Anatidae.